AUUGAACGCUGGCGGCAUGCUUUACACAUGCAAGUCGAACGGCAGCGGGGAGGAGCUUGCUUCUCUGCCGGCGAGUGGCGAACGGGUGAGUAAUACAUCGGAACGUGUCGAGAAGAGGGGGAUAACCACCCGAAAGGGUGGCUAAUACCGCAUAAAUUCUGAGGAAGAAAGCUGGGGACCUAGGAAUAGGCCUAGCGCUUUUUGAGCGGCCGAUGUCGGAUUAGCUAGUUGGUGAGGUAAAGGCUCACCAAGGCGAAGAUCUGUAGCGGGUCUGAGAGGAUGAUCCGCCACACUGGGACGGAGACACGGCCCAGCCUCCUACGGGAGGCAGCAGUGGGGAAUUUUGGACAAUGGGGGCAACCCUGAUCCAGCCAUGCCGCGUGUAUGAAGAAGGCCUUAGGGUUGUAAAGUACUUUUGUUAGGGAAGAAAAGUCAGCUGUGAAUAAUGGCUGAUACUGACGGUACCUAAAGAAUAAGCACCGGCUAACUACGG
Molecule: ribosomal RNA, 493 nt
Filed under: uncultured bacterium
Lineage: Bacteria
Description: partial 16S ribosomal RNA
Rfam family: Bacterial small subunit ribosomal RNA
Source: RNAcentral